Molecule: ribosomal RNA, 503 nt
Filed under: uncultured bacterium
Lineage: Bacteria
Description: partial 16S ribosomal RNA
Rfam family: Bacterial small subunit ribosomal RNA
Source: RNAcentral
AUUGAACGCUGGCGGCAGGCUUAACACAUGCAAGUCGAGCGGGGUGAUGGUGCUUGCACUAUCACUUAGCGGCGGACGGGUGAGUAAUGCUUAGGAAUCUGCCUAUUAGUGGGGGACAACAUCUCGAAAGGGAUGCUAAUACCGCAUACGUCCUACGGGAGAAAGCAGGGGAUCACUUGUGACCUUGCGCUAAUAGAUGAGCCUAAGUCGGAUUAGCUAGUUGGUGGGGUAAAGGCCUACCAAGGCGACGAUCUGUAGCGGGUCUGAGAGGAUGAUCCGCAACACUGGGACUGAGAGACGGCCCAGACUCCUAAGGGAGGCAGCAGUGGGGAAUAUUGGACAAUGGGGGGAACCCUGAUCCAGCCAUGCCGCGUGUGUGAAGAAGGCCUUAUGGUUGUAAAGCACUUUAAGCGAGGAGGAGGCUCUUUUGGUUAAUACCCAAGAUGAGUGGACGUUACUCGCAGAAUAAGCACCGGCUAACUCUGUGUCAGCCGCCGCCGUAA